This 218-nucleotide unclassified non-coding RNA is filed under the name Hevea brasiliensis (rubber tree). Lineage: Eukaryota; Viridiplantae; Streptophyta; Magnoliopsida; Malpighiales; Euphorbiaceae. The record is from RNAcentral.
AGAAAAACUUGGAACUUUCAAAAGCAUACCAGAACUUCCUCAAUCUUGUUUAAAGAAUUUGAGAGAAGAACUCCUCAAGGUCAUUUGCGACCACUCCAAGUUUUCGAGAAAAAAUUGCAUCUUUCAGAUCAAUGUUGUUGUUCGGAUAAAUAUCGGCCGCCUUGAUUUCCAUGUACUCAUGCAGGUUGUGUAUAGUUCCAUCUUCAGCAACAAUGGCU